CCUGGUCGAGGACCCACUAGGUCUCACAGACGGAGUGGGUUAGGAUAAUCAUAGCAUUAAUGGGAGUAUUGAGAGAGCGCCCUGGGGCGUUGGGUCCCUCGGGAAGAAAAGCUUCUGCUGUCGCCACUGGAGCGGUACCCAGUUCGUCCCGUCUUAGGUCCAGGAGGUUCCCAUGCUCGGAGGGUCUGGUGGGCAGAACAGAACCGGCGGUGCGCACGCCCUCUCGCGGCCUUGCGCCCAAUCGCUGAGGUUCAGUGUCAGGUGAUUCUAAGCCAUGGUUUUGGAACUCAAUAGUGAAGCAGAGCAAAUAAAUGAUGCAGUGCCUUGAUGGGACCGGUGGAGACAACAAGAAGCAAAGCACAGCUGAAACUUCAAAAUUCCACUGAGUGUUAGUAGGAUUUGGAGGGAGAAAAUAGACGGAGAGUCGAGAGGCCCAGAGAUGCAGAAGGGUUAGAGGAUUAGGGUUAGGGGUUAGGGUUUGGUGUUAGGGGUUCAGGUUGGGGGGUUAGAGGUUUGGGAGUUAGGUUUAGGGGUAUAGGUUUUAGGUGGCUGGGGUCGGGGUUAGGGCUGGGGUUACUAGGCUAGGGCACAAGUGGUUUAGGGUUAUGGUUAGGGUUAGAGUGAGGCUGAGGUUGAUUCCCAGUCUUGUGUACCGUCUCUUCCUUCACCAGAGUUACCACAUAUCUGUCGUUUGGUUGGAAACCCUGAUGGCAUAGUGGUUAAGACCCACCAGUGCUAACCAAAGGUCUGCAGUUCGAAUCCACCAGGCGCUCCUUGGAAACUCUAUGGGGCAGUUCUAAUCUGUCCUAUAGGGUCUCUAUGAGCUGGAAUCGACUCGACGGCGGUGGUUUGUUUUUUUUUGGUUAUUAUUUAGUUAGCUUUUCUCUACCCACUCUCCGUCUGCCUGGUGAACAUCAAGGAUUGUUUCUGUGUGUAAAUGUUUUCAUGAGUUUUUAUGAUAGUGGUCUCUUAGUGUAUAUGUCGUUUUGUGAUUGACUUAGUCAGCAUGAUGCGCUCCAGAUUCAUCCAUGGUGUGAGAUGUUUCAGAGAUUCAUCAUUGGUCUUCGUUGUCGUGUAGUGUUCCACUGUGUGUAUGUACCGUAGUUUGUUUAUCCAUUCCUCCGUGGAUGAGCACUUAGGUUGUUUCCAUCUUUUUGCUACUGUGAAUAAUGUCGCAGUGAACACGGGUGUGCAUAUGUCUAUUCCUGUGACUGCUCAUGGAAACCCUGGUGGCUAGUGGUUAAGUGCUACGGCUGCUAACAAAAAGGGUUAGGGUUUGAGGUUCGGGAUGUUAGGGUUAGGGUUGUUAGAGUUCUGGUUGUUAGGGUUUGGGGUUAGGGGUUGGGGUUAGGGUUUUGGGGUUAGGGAUGUUAGGGUUAGGGUUGUUAGGGUUUGGGUUAGGGUUUUUCGGUUGGGGUUAGGUGUUAGGGUUAGGUUUAGGGUUUGAGGUUAGAGUUUGGAUUUACAGGUUAGGUGUUAGGGGUUGCAGUUUGGGGUUUACAGUUUUGGGGGUUUAGGGUUUUGGGGUUUAGUCGGUAGGGUUUGGGUUAGGUUUUAGGGGUCAGGAUUUAGGUUUAGGGUUGGGGUUGGUGUUGGGUUUGUUUGGGAUAUGUGGUUUGGGGUAAGAGAGUGGGUGUUAGAGGUUUGGGGGUUAGAGAUUGAGGGAGUUAGAGGGUGAGGGGUUAGAGGGUGAGGGGGUUAGAGGUUGAGAAGAUUAUAGAGUGAGGGAGUGAGAAGGUGAGGGUGUGAGGGGGUAAAGGUUAGGGUUUAGGGUUAGAGGGUUUAGGCUUAGGGUUCAGAGGCUUAGGGUUAGGGGGUUAGGGUUUCAGGGUUCAGAGGUUGGGGUUGGUGUUGUGGUUAGGGUUAGAGAGUUAGGGUUAGAGGGUUAGGGUUGGAGGUUUAGGGUUAGAAGAUUAGGGGUAUGGUUUAGAGGUUUAGGGUUAGGGGUUAGGGCUAGGGUUUAGGGGUUCAGGUUUAGGGGUGUGGGAUGGGUCUGGGGUAAGGUUUUAGGGUUUAGGGUUAGAGGGUUAUGUUUAGGGCUUAAGGCUUAGAGUUUAGGGUUUCAGGACUUAGGGUUUAGGGCUUAGGGCUUAGAGCCUAGGGUUUAGGACUUAAGGUUUAGGGUUUAAGGCUUAGAGUGAGGGUUAGGGCUGGGGGCUGGGGUUAGGGUUUAGGGUUUAGUGUUAGGGUAUUAGGGUUAGAGGGUUAGAUGGUUUAGCGUUUAAGUUUAGGGUUUAGGGGUUAGGGUUAAGGGUGUUAGUGUUUAGGGUUUUGGCAUUUAGGGUGUUAGGGUUGAAUGUGUUAGGGGUAAGGGUGUUAGGGUUUUAAGUGUUAGGGUUUACAGUUUAGGGUUAAGUGAUAGGGUUAGGCUUAGACUCAUUCUUAGGUUUAGGGCUAGGGAUUUGAGGUUUAGGGUUUGGCGUUGGGUUUGGGGGUUGGGGUUAGGUUUAGGGCUAGGAUUAGAGGGCUAGGGUUAGAGGGUUAGAGUUAGAGGGUUAGGGUUUCAGGUUAGCGUUAGAGGGUUAGGGUUCGAGUGUUAGGGUUAGGGUUAGGGUCGUUAAGGUUAGGGUGGUUAGGGGUUAGGUGUUAGGGUUUAGGGUUUAGGGUAUAGGGGUUAGAGUUUGGGUUAGGGUUAGAGUUUAGGGCCUUGGGGGUUAGGACCUAAGGGCUUAGGGCCUUAGGGGCUUUGGGACUUAGGGCUUAGGGGCUAGAGUUAGAGGGCUAAGGCCAGAGGGCCAGGGUUAUGGUUUGAUUCCUGGUUGGCAAUUUUUUUCCUUCAAUAUUUUGUAUAAGUCAUCCCAUUGCCUUCUUGCCUCCAUGAUUUCUGCUGAGUAGUCCAAGUUUAUCAUUAUUUACUCUCCUUUUUUGGUGACUUCCUUUAUCCCUAGCCUCUCUUAAAAUUCUCUUUAUGUUUGAUUUUGGCAAGUUUGAUUAUUAUAUGUCUCGGUCACUUUCUUUUGAGAUCACCUUAUGUGGAAUUUGAUGAGCAUCUUUCAUGAUAUCAGGGAAGUUUUCUGCCAACAAAUCUUCAACAGUUCCCUGUGUAUUUUCUGUUAGCCCUCCCUGUUCUGGUACUGCAAUCACUCAUAGUUAUUUCUCUUGAUAAAGUCCCACAUGAUUCUUUGGAUUUCUUCAUUUAAAAUUCUUUUAUCUGGUUUCUUUUCAAAUAUAUUGGUCCCAAGAGUUUUAUCUUCUAUCUCAGUAAUUCUGCCUUCCAGUUCUUCAGUUGUGCUCUUCUUACUUUCUAUCGAGUUUUCUAACUCUGUAAUUUUAUUGUUAAUCUUCUGAAUUUCUGAUUGCAGUCUCUCUAUGGUUUCUUGCAGCUUAUUAAAUUUUUAAUUAUGUGCUUGAGUAACCUUUUUAAUUUCUUCAGCUGCUUUAUCUUUGUGUUCCUUGGCUUGUUCUGUAUUUUGCCUCAUUUCCUUCCUGAUAUCUUUGAGAGUUCUGUAUAUUAAUCUUUUGUAUUCUGUAUCCGGUAAUUCCAGGAUUGCACCUUCAUCGAGAAGAUUCCUUGAGUCUUAGUUCUGAGAGCUUGUUGAAGCAAUCAUGGGUCAGCUUCUUUUUUUUUUAUUUUAAUAAUUUUUAUUGUGUUUUAAGUGAAAGUUUACAAAUCAAGGCAGUCUCUCACAUAAAAACUUAUACACAACUUGUUACAUAUUCCCAAUUACUUUCCCCCCAAUGGGACAGCCCACUCCCUCCUUCCACUCUUUCUUUCCGUGACCAUUUUGCCAGUUUCUAAGCCCCUCUACCCACCCAUCUCCCUUCCAGGCAGGAGAUGCCAACAUAGUCUCAAGUGUCCACCCAAACCAAGUAGCUCACGCCUCACCAGCAUCCCUCUCCAACCCGUUGUCUAGUCCAACCCAUGUCUGAUGAACUGGCUUUGGGGAUGGUUCCCGUAGUGGGUAAACGGAAGGUGUGGGGGCCAUGAUCACUGGGGUCCUUCCAGUUUCAGUCAGACCAUUAAGUCUGGUCUUUUUAUGAGAAUUUGGGGUCUGCAUCCCACUGUUCUGCUCCCUCAAGGGAUCUCUGUUAUGUUCCCCGUCAGGGCAGUCAUUGGUUGUGGCCCGGCACUGUCUAGUUCUUCUGAUCUCAGGAUGAUGUAGUCUCUAGUUCAUGUAGUCCUUUCUGUCUCUUGGGCUCGUUAUUAUCUUAUGUUCUUGGUGUUCUCCAUUCUCCCUUGAUCCAGGUGGGCUGAGAAUCAUUGAUGCAUCUGAGAUGGCUGCUUGCUAGCAUUUAAGAUUCCAGAUGCCACUCUUCAAAGUGGGAUGCAGAAUGUUUUCUUAAUAGAUUUUAUUAUGCCAGUUGACUUAGAUGUCCCCUAAAACCAUGGUCCCCAAACCUCUGCCCCUGCUUUGCUGACCUUCGAAGCAUUCAGUUUAUUCAGGAAACUUCUUUGCUUUGGUUUAGUCCAGUUGUGCUGACCUCCACUGUGUUGAGUGUUGUUCUUCCAUUCACCGAAAGUAGUUCUUGUCUAUCUCUUUAGUAAAUACCCCUCUCCUACCCUCCCUGCCUCCCCCCCUCAUAACAACAAAGGAAUAUGUUCUUCUCAGUUUAAACUAUUUCUCAAGAUCUUAUAAUAGUGGUCUUAUACAAUAUUUGACCUUUUGCUACUAAUUUCACUCAGCAUAAUGCCUUCCAGGUUUCUCCAUGUUAUGAAGUGUUUCACAGAUUCGUCACUGUUCUUUGUUGAUGUGCAGUAUUCCAUUGUGUGAAUAUAGCAUAAUUUAUUUAUCCAUUCAUCCAUUGAUGGGCACCUUGGUUGGUUCCAUCUUUUUGCUAUUGUAAACAGUGCUGCAAUAAACGUGGAAGUGCAUGUAUCUAUUUGUGUAAAAGCUCUUAUUUCUGUAGGAUAUAUUCCGAGGAGUGGGAUUGCUGGGUUGUAUGGUAGUUCUAUUUCUAGCUUUUUAAGGAAGCACCAAAUUGAUUUCCAAAGUGGUUGUAUACCAUUUUACAUUCCCACCAGCAGAAUAUAAGUGUUCCGGUCUCUCCACAGCCUCUCCAACAUUUAUUUUUUUGUGUGUUUUGGAUUAAUGCCAGCCUUGUUGGAGUGAGAUGGAAUCUCAUUGUAGUUUUGAUUUGCAUUUCUCUAAUGGCUAAUGAUCGAGAGCAUUUCCUUAUGUAUCUGUUAGCUGCCUGAAUGUCUUCUUUAGUGAAGUGUCUGUUCAUAUCCUUUGCCCAUUUUUUAAUUGGGGUGUUUGUCUUUUUGUGGUUGAGUUUUAGCAGAGUCAUGUAGGUUUUAGAGAUCAGGCACCGGGCAGAGAUGUCUUAGCUGAAAACUUUUUCCCAGUCUGUGGGUGGUCUUUUUACUCUUUUGGUGAAGUCUUUAGAUGAGCAUAGGUGUUUGAUUUUUAGGAGCUCCCAGUUAUCUGGUUUCUCUUCGUCAUUUUUAGUAAUGUUUUGUAUUCUGUUUAUGCCAUGUAUUAGGUCUCCUAAUGUUGUCCCUAUUUUUUCUUCCAUGAUCUUUAUCGUUUUAGAUUUUAUGUUUAGGUCUUUGAUCCAUUUGGAGUUAGUUUUUUGCAUGGUGUGUGGUAGGGGUCCUGUUUCAUUUUUUGGAGGUGGCUAUACAGUUACGCCAGCACCUUUUGUUAAAAAGACUAUCUUCUCCCCAAUUAACUGACACUGGGCCUUUGGCAAAUAUCAGCUGCUCAUAUGUGGAUGGAUUUAUAUCUGGAUUCUCAAUAUUGUUCCAUCGGUCUAUGUGUCUGUUGCUGUACCAGUACCAGGCUGUUUUGAGUACUGUGACAGUAUAAUUUGUUCUAAUAUCAGGCAGAGUGAGUCCUCCCACUUUGUUCUUUUUUAGUAAUGCUUUACUUUUCCGCGGCUUCUUUCCCUUCCAUAUGAAGUUGGUGAUUUGUUUCUCCAUCUGUUUAAAAAAUGUCAUUGGAAUUUGGAUCGGAAGUGCAUUGUAUCUAUAGAUGGCUUUUGAUAGAAUGGACAAUUUUACAAUGUUGUCUUCCUAUCCACGAGCAAGAUAUGUUUUUCCAAUUACGUAGGUCCCUUUUGUUUUUUUUGCAGUAGUACCUUGUAGUUUUCUUGGUAUAGCUCUUUUACAUUUUUGGUAAGGUUUAUUCCUAAGUAUUUUAUCUUCUUGGGGGCUGCUGUGAAUGGUAUUCAUUUGAUGAUUUCCUCUUCAAUGUUCUUUUUGUUGAUAUAGAGGAAUCCAACUGAUUUUGUGUGUUUGUAUUGUAAUCUGAAACUUUGCUGAACCCUUCUAUUAGUUUUCUUGAGGAUUCCUCAGGGUUUUCUGUGUAUAAGAUAAUGUCUUUGGAAAUAGAGAUAAUUUUAUUUCUUCCUUACCAAUCUGGAUGCCCUUUAUUUCUUUGUCUAGCCCAGUUGCUCUGGCUAGGACCUCUAGCACAAUGCUGAGUAAGAGCAGUGAUAAAGGGGAUCUUUGUCUGUUUCCCGUUCUCAAGGGAAAUGCUUUCAGGCUCUCUCCAUUUAGGAUGAUGCUGGGUAUUGGCUUUGUAUCAAUACCCUUUAUUAUGUUGAGGAAUUUUCCUUCUAUUCCUAUUUUGCUGAGAGUUUUUAUCAUGAGUGGGUGUUGGACUUUGUCAAAUGCCUUUUCUGUAUCAAUUGAUAAAAUUAUGUGGUUCUUGUCCUUUUUUUAUGUGGUGGAUUACGUUAAUUGUUUUUCUAAUAUUGAACCAACCUUGCAUACCUGGUAUAAAUCCUACUUGGUUAUGGUGGAUUAUUUUUUUGAUAUGUUGUUGAAUUCUACUGGCUCGAAUUUUGUUGAGGAUUUUUGCAUCUAUGUUCAUGAGGGAUAUAGGUCUGUAAUUUUCUUUUUUUGUGUUGUCUUUAGCUGGUUUUGGUAUCAGGGUUAUUCUGGCUUCAUAGAAGGAGUUAGGUAGUAUUCCGUCCUUUUCUAUGCUUUGAAAUACCUUCAGUAGUAGUGGUAAGUCUUCCCUGAAAGUUUGGUAGAACUUUGCAGUGAAGCCAUCAGGGCCAGGGCUUUUUUUUGUUGGGAGUGUUUUGAUUACCUUUUCAAUCUCUUUUAUUGUUAUGGGUGUAUUUAGUUGUUCUACUUCAGUUUGUGUUAGUUUAGGUAGGUAGUGUGUUUCUAGGAAUUCAUCCAUUUUUUCUAGGUUUUCAAAUUUGUUGGAAUACAAUUUUUUGUAGUAAUCUGAUAUGAUUGUUUUAAUUUCAGUUGGAUCUGUUGUGAUAUGGCCCAUCCCAUUUCUUAUUUGGAUUAUUGGUUUGUUUUCCUGUAUUUCUUUAGUCAGUCUGGCUAAUGGUUUAUCAAUUUUGUUCAUUUUUUCAAAGAAGCAGUUUUUGGCCUUGUUAACUCUUUCAAUUGUUUUUCUAUUCUCUAAUUCAUUUAAUUUUGCUGUAGUUUUUAUUUUUUGCUUUCUUUUGGUGCCUGACAGUUCCUUUUGUUGCUCUCUUUCUGUUUGUUCAAGUUGUAGGGACAGUUCUUUCAUUUUGGCUCUUCUUUAAUAUGUGUGCCUUUAUUGAUAUAAAUUGACCUCUGAGCACUGCUUUCACCAUGUCCCAAAGGUUUUCAUAGGAAGUGUUUUCAGUCUUGUUGAAUUCUGUGAAUUUCUUUAUUCCCUCCUUAAGGUCUUCCAUAACCCAGUCUUUUUUGAGCAGGGCAUUGUGCAGUUUCCAAGCAUUUGAUUUCUUUUCCCUGGUUUUUCUGUUAUUGAUUUUUGCUUUUAUGGUCUUUUGUUCAGAGAAGAUGUUUUAUAAUAUUUCAAUGUUUUGGGUUCUGCAAAGGCUUGUUUUAUGACCUAAUAUGUGAUCUAUUCUAGAGAAUGUUUCAUGUGCACUAGAAAAGAAAUUAUAGUUUGCAGCUGUUGGGUGGAGUGUUCUGUAUAAGUCUAUGAAGUGAAGUUGUUUAAUUGUAGCACUUAGAUCUUCCGUGUCUCUAUUGAGCUUCUUACUGCAUUUCCUAUCCUUCACCGAGAGUGUUGUGUUGAAGUCUCCUGCUAUAAUUGUGGAGGUGUCUAUCUCACUUUUUAAUUCUGUUAACAUUUGUUUUAUGAAUGUUGCGGCCCUAUCAUUGGGUGCAUAAAUAUUUAAUACGGUUAUAUGUACCUGGUAAAUUGUCCCUUUAAUCUUUAUGUAGUGUCCUUCUUUAUCCUUUGUGGUGGAUUUAAUUUUAAAGUCUAUUUUGUUGGAAAUUAAUAUUGCCUCUCCUGCUCUUUUUUGAUUGUUGUUUGCUUGAUAUAUUUUUAUCCAUCCUUUCAGUUUUGGUUUAUUUGUGUCUCUUAACUCUAAAGCGUGUCUCUUUUAGGAAGCAUACAGACUGAUCGUGUUUUUUUAUCCAGUCUGCAACUUUCUGUCUCUUUAUUGGUGAAUUUAGUCCAUUUACAUUAAGUGUAAUUAUAGAUAAGUAUGAGUUUAGUGCUGUCAUUUUGAUGCCUGUUUUUGACAAUUUCAUUUUCCAUUUACUUUUUUGUGCUGAGUUUUUCUUUGUAGAAUGUGUGUUCUUCCUUUUUAUAGUAGUUGAAUUUAUUUUGGUGAGUCGUUAUGUUUAUCUUGGUUUUUAUUUUGAAGUAUGGAAUUGUUAGACCUUGUUGUGGUUACCUUAAUAUUUACCCUGGUUUGAGUAAGUAAAAACCUAAGUUGUUUCGCCCUGUAUCACCUUGGUUUCCUCUCCAUAUGUCAUUUCUAAGCCUCCUGUAUUUAGUCCCUCUUUUUUCACUAUCGUAAUCUUUUACAUAAUCACAUCAAUGAUUCCCUGUUUUGAGUAAUUUUUUUAAUUAAUCUUAUUUUGUUUUUGUGAUUUCCGUAUCUGGGUUGAUAUCAGGAUGUUUUGUUCUGUGACCUUGUGUUGUGUUGGUAUCUGAUAUUAUUGAUUUUCUGACCAAAGAAUUUCCUUCAGUAAUUCUUGCAGUUUUGGUUUGGUUUUUGCAAAUUCUCUAAGCUUGUGUUUAUCUGUAAAUAUCUUAAUUUCACCUUCAUGUUUUAGAAUUUUGCUGGAUAUAUGAUUGUUCGCUGACAGUUUUUCCUCUUUCAGUGCUCUAUAUAUGUUAUCCCAUUGUCUUCUUGCCUGCAUGGUUUCUGCCGAGUAGUGCAAACUUAUUGAUUCUCCUUUGUAGGUAACUUUUCGUUUAUCCUUGGGUGCUUUUGAAAUUUCUCUUUAUCUUUGGUUUUGGCAGGUUUGAUGAUAUGUCUUGGUGAUUUUCUUUUGGGAUCUAUCUUGUAUGAGGUUCGAUGAGCAUCUUGGGUAGAUAUCUUUUCAUCUUUCACAAUGCCAGGGAAUUUUUCUGCCAUCAGAUCUUCCACUGUUCUCUCUGUAUUUUCUGUUAUCCCUCCCUGUUCUGGAACUCCAAUCACACGCAAAUUACUCUUCAUAGAGUCCCCCAUGAUUCUUAGGGUUUCUUCAUAGUUUUAAAUUCUAUUUGAUUUUUCUUCAACUAUAUUUGUGUCAAUUGUCUUAUCCUCCAGCUCCCCCACUCUGCAUUCCAGUUCCUCGAUUCUGCUCCUGUGACUUCCUAUUGAGUUGUCUGAUUCUGUGACUUUAUUGUUAAUCUUUUGGAUUUCUGAAUGCUGUCUCUCUAUGGAUUCUUACAGCUUAUUAAUUUUUUCACUAUGUUCUUGAAUAAUCUUUUGGAUAUCUUUAACUGCUUUAUCCGUGUAUUCCUUGGUGUUUUCUGUAGAUUGCCUUAUUUCAUUUGUGAGGUCAUUCCUGAUGUCUUGAAGAAUUCUGUAUAUAAUUUUUUUAUAUUCUACAUUUGGCAAUUCUAGGAAUGUAUCUACAUCUGGGAAUGAUUUUGAUUCUUUGAUUUGGGGGUUUGUAGAAGCAAUCAUGGUCUGCUUCUUCAUGUGAUUUGAUGUCGACUGCUGUCUCUGAGCCAUCUAUAAGAUAUUGUAAUAUUUUCUUUUAUAUUUGCUCACUGAGUCUUAUCUUCUUAUUUUGUUUUGUUACAAGACACCCAGAUGGGCUACUAGAUUGUGGUAUCGUGAUUGAUUUAGCUUUUGAAUCACUUACGUCCUAUUACCAGCUUGCCUGAGCUGUUACCAGGUAUAUAAGUGUAUGAGUCCAUUCACUAUUCUUGAAUAGAAUCAGCUCAGGUGUCCUGAUAGCUGGUCACCUAGUGUGUGGUGUAGGCUCUCACCUAUUAUCUUAGAGGAGUAGUGGUGAUGGUUGUAUGCACCAGUUUCUAUUAGUGGCAUGGGGUCACAUUUCGAGGAGGGCAGGAUGCUGACAGCCUUCCUUCAAGUGACAGUGAGGUAGGUGUGGCUCUAUUCUCUAGAGCACUCUGGUGGGUGGGCUUUGCAGCUGUAUCUUAGGCACCCAAUGCUUGGGUAGGCGUCACUAUUCUCAGACCCCUCUAGCAGGUGGCUAGGUGAUGUGGGUGGAGUCUCAGCCCUCAGUUCACUGGUGUGGAUCAGCGAGGGCUCUGUUUAAUAGGUAGAGAGGUAUCUGACCUCCAAAACUUGCCUUUCCACUGCUGAGCUAAAACAAUUAUGGUCAGAUCUCUAUCAGAAUUGCCUUUACAUUGUAAUAGCCACCUAGUUACCUGUAGGGUGAAAGCCAAAGACUAUGGGUCUGUUAAUGCCUGGAUGGAGCUGAUUCUGUACUGUUAUUUCAGUUUAGGGAAGUCAGGGAAGGAUUUUUUCUUUGAUUGUUAAAUGCUGCUUUUCUCAGGCCAGGAGAAUGGGUUAGAAAAGAAAGAAGAAAAAAAAUCCAGCAGUGCACUUCACUCUCUGGCACAGAGAAUUCCAAUGUUAAUGAAGCUGGCUGGGGCAAUGAGGGGUGGAAUCAGAUAUAUAGAAGAGAGUAGCCUGGCAAAAUAUACAAAGUUACUUAUGUUGUUUGGUGAGGACUGUUUUUUCUGAGAUUCCAGAGCAUUGUGUCGCUCGUGUGUGGUGGCUGGAUCCCUGCUGAGACUGUCCCAGAGGGUUAGGGCUGCGUCCAUGCUCACACCGUCUCAGGAAGCCACAAUCGGCUCCCCCACACUUAGUCCAAAGCCCAGCACCAGGGUUUCCUUUCUGGGACGCUGCACUCCAGGCUCCAGAACCAGUCGCUGCUUCCCUAUAGUUUUUCGUUUCCCUGUCAGCCACGUCUGUGUGGAGCCUGUGUGUGCUGCCUGGGUCCCCUCUGAGGUUGGUCCUGAGGGUUGGGCCUAUAUCUGUUCUUCCGUGUCUCAGUAAGCCACAAUCAGCCCCACCACUCUGACACCAGGAAACCACGAGGGCUCAAGGCUGUGGCGUGGGACACUGGCUCUGGAAGUGGUCCCUGCUGCAGCGUGGCUUUUCGCUCCCCCGUCACUCAGGUCAACUCCUUAGUUCUGUGUUUGAUGGUCAGGGUUUGUAGAUUGUCCUUUAUGUAAUCAGUUCACUUGUUUUUUCGAGUCUUUGUUUCAAGAGGGAUAAGCGGAAUCUUCUACCUAGUGAGCCAUCUUGGUCCUGCCCCCAUGUCUGCCUCUUUAUGUGAUUUGAUAUUGACUGUUGUCUCUGAGCCAUCUAUAAGUUAUUGUAUUAGUUUAUUUUAUGCUUGCUUUUUGUAUCCUAGCUUCUUGCUUUGUUUAGUUUUGGUAUACCCAAAUAAGCUGCUUGAGUGCACUAGGUUGAUUAUUUUCACCUUUGAAGCUCUAAUGUACUAUCACCAGAUGGCUAGCACUGUUACCAGGCAUAUGAGCCUAGGAGUUCAUUUAUUUUUCUUGUAUGGAUUCAACUCAGGUGCCCAGGUAGUUGGUCAUAAAGUGUGUGGUACGGGCUCUGUCCUACAGUCUUAAAGGGGCAGGGGUCAUUGGUGUAGGCAGAAGUAUCUGGCUGCAGUAGGGGGUCAGGCUCUGAUCAAGGCAGGGGUCUGACAGCUGUGCUCUGAGUGUCUGUGAGGAAAGUGCAUCCCUGUUCUGUAGAGCACAUGGGUGGGUUCUGCAGAAGGGCAGUGGGUACCCAAUGCUUUUGGUUGUAAGUUCUGGGCGGUACUACUUAUCCUUGGAGCCCUAUCACAGGUGGCUAGGUAUUGUGGGUGGAGCCAGCAGUCCUUAUGCCCCUGAUGUGGGUAGGUGAAGACCCUGUUUAAUAGGCAAAGCAGUGUCAAACAUCAAAUACCCAUCUUUCCACCGUUCAGGUGAAACAGUUGCAGUCUGGCAACAAGGGCCUAUUCUCCUGAAAUGGGCCCACACAGGUCCAUGCUGGGGUGAAAGGUAUUCAAAGCCCAUGGACUGUUUGUGCCUGAACAAGAGCUGCUUCUGUCCUGAGCUCCCCAGCUUAAUUGAGCUGGCAGAUUAUCUUUCCCCCAGUUGUGAACUUAUACCUUCUUCAAGGAUGGAAAAAUGGCUCAGAGUGGUACCAGGGCCUAUCUCAGGCCCAGGGAAGUUGACAGCCACUGAAGCCGGCUUGGGGGCUGGGGGCGUGGUAAAAUAAACACAAGUAAUUAGCUUUUGCUGAGAGUGCCGUUCUUCUCUUGUUCUGGAGGUGUGAGUAGUCUGUGCAACUUGCUGUCCUUCCCUGAGCUAAACGCCUGUGGAACGCCACUGCCAGCCCCACUGCAGUCGCUCCAGGGAACGGUGCCUGAGGGUUCCUGGCUAUUCAGGUCCAGUAACUCCUCUCCACUUCUGAAUAGUCUCUCCCUCCCCCUGCCGCUGAGUCCAUUUUCUAACUUUACCUUUGAUGUUCAGGGCUCCUAGCUUCUCAUAAAUAUAAUCGCUUCACUUGUUUUUUCUGGUCUUUUUUGUAAGAGGGAUCACUGGUGGCGUCUCAAUACUCAAAACUUCAUCAUUUCUUCCUUUCACUUUAGCUACUCGACAUUCAAGAGCAACGUUCAGAGUCUCUUCCGACAUCCGUUUUGGUCUUUUCUUUCUUUCCUGUCUUUUAAAGGAUCUCUUGCUUUCUUCAUGUGUGAUGUCCUUGAUGUCAUUCCACAACUCGUCUGGUCUUCAGUCGUUAGUGUUCAACACGUAAAAUGUGUUCUUGAGGUGGUCUCUAAAUACAGGUGAGAUAUACUCAAGGUCAUAUUUUGGCCCCUUUUGACUUAUUCUAAUUUUCUUCAGUUUCAACUUGAACUCCCAUAUGAGCAAUUGACAGUCUGUUUCACAAUUGAUCCCUGGCCUUGUUCUGACUGAUGAUAUGAGUUUUCCCAUCUUCUCUUUCCACAGAUGUAGUCAGUUUGAUUCCUGUGUAUUCCAUCUGGUAAAGUCCACGUGUAUAGCUGCCGUUUAUGUUGGUGAAAAAAAAUAUUUGCAGUGGAUGAGUCACUGGUCUUGCAGAAUUCUUUCAUGAGAUUUCUGGUGUCAUUUAUUUCAUCGAUGCUGUAUUUUCCAACUACUUUUCCUUCUUUGUUUCCAACUUUAACAUUCUAAUGACCAGUAAUUAUCAAUGCAUCUUGAUUGCAUGUUUGAUCAAUUUCAGGCUGCAGAAGUUGUUUAAAAUCUUCAAUUUCUUUAUCUUUGGCAUUAGUGGUUGGUGCAUAAAUUUGAAUAGUCGUAUAAACUAGUCUUCCUUGUAAGUGUAUGGAUUUUAGCCUAUUAGUGACAACAUUGUACUUCAGGCUAGAUCUUGAAAUGUUCUCUUUGAUGAUAUGUAACGUCAUUCUUUUGACUCUAGUGGAAUAUCCAUGUUUGUAAGACUGCUCACAGACUGUUUCACCAGAGAGUUUUCUGGUACUGCAACAUCUACCACUAAUGUCUGUGAUCCCUGUGAAUUGGCAAAAUAAGAAUAGUGCUAUAGAUUUCUUCCAAAUACAGAAAACAUAAGUAUGAAAAUGUUCUUGCUGUUGAUUAUAUUCUUUACCAAUCUGUUUGUGUGGGAUUUUUGGUACUUCACUUGAAAAAUGAGUCCAAGGUACUGUGAUGUGAUUGUUUACUUUGUGUGGCCUUUCUAGCCAUGGUCUUAUAACAUCCACCCUGGUGCUUGGGCAGGACUGUGUGAUAGGGUAAUUGUGGCUCACCAAGGGGAUUGUUUAUUUUCCCUUCAAAGAGAACCAGUUCCAGAGCAAAGAGGAGGAUUCAACUCCCAUCAAGGAAGAACAGCCAAGAGCCGAGCGUAUAUUAUGGACCUGAGAUCCCUGCACUGAGAAGCUCCUAGAAGCAAGAGACUGAGAUAGAGAGAGGAAGCUGUAACCCUGAAGAUGCUUAAAUACAGACCAGAAGAGGAGUUUGGGGCUUGACACCUGACAUCUUAACACCAGUUCCUGUUUCUUGAGGAAGGAAGAGGUAAAAUAAAUCAGCGUUUACUGUUUCCUUCUCCAUCCCCGGAAGUCCUGAUGAAGACCCUCUCAGCUUCAACUUGAACGUGAAUAUGAGCAACUGAUCAUCUGUUCUGCAGUCAGCCCCUGGCCUGAUUCUGACUCAUGAUAUUGACCAAGUGAAGAGUGAUUCAGAGAAAAACAUGGGUAGAGUGUGACCUAAUUUCCAUAAAAACAAAGAAAUGAAUGUACUUACACGUGUCCCGGCAAAAAGAAGUGUGUAAAACGGUACAUAUGUAUCUUUGGACACUGGACACUUCAGGGGAGCAGGCAGGAGAUGCCAACAUAGUCUCAAGUGUCCACCUGAUCCAAGAAGCUCACUCCUCACCAGCAUCCCUCUCCAACCCAUUGUCCAGUCCAAUCCAUGUCUGAAGAGUUGGCUUCGGGAAUGGUUCCUUUCCUGGGGCAACGGAAGGUCUGGGGGCCAUGACCACCGGGAUCCUUCCAGUCUCAGCGGGACGCCCCUCCUGUGCUGUCCUCAGAAGGGCUCUUCAGGGACCGCACCCCUAGUUUGCGGAGCAGCAGAGCCUGCCCCAGUCUGGACCAGGGACUUUAUUUCUUCCACUCUCACCACUGGCUGAAGGCAGACUCCUGUCUCCACAGACUAAAGAGGAAUUAUCAAAAUGAGCUCGAAACUCUAGAUUUGAGUUAAGGAUCAUAAAUUAACACAGAGAAAUACAACUUUAACAACAAAGACCUGUUUGGAGCCCCAGUUGGAAUUAAAAAAAAAAAACUUGAACAGAGGGAGUGAUAAAGUCUUCCUUCUUUUGCCACCCUCUCUCGGUGGUCCCAAGCUUUCUCAUCUCCCACCUCACAAGACUGUAUCAACUGCUUUGAGACUUUUAGAAUAAAGAUCCCCAGGCAUAUCACUGCUGUUACCCUGUGAGGAUUUCCCCAGUGCUGGGUUAGAGUAAGACAGAAUCCUUCCAAGGCUUCCAGGGCCUGUGUACUGGACGGUCAGCACACGGAGCCUCAGAGCCCACUUCGUUUUUCCUGUAGUUGGGCAUGACCCCAGGGACAUGACCCUGAGAGUGCUGACACUUCCUGAAGCCAGUGACCCUCCCCCUGGGCUUCUCUCUGCAUGGGUCUCAGAAUCUCUGAGGCCAACUUGUACCCUCGGAAGUGUUUCUGCUGAAGGACACGUAAACAGCACUGUGGAUUUGUGUCCUGCAGUCUGCAAAACUGCCUCCCCUGAGUGGGGUGAGGAGCUACUGAAAUACUGAAAUCAUUGAAACUAGCAGAAGCCACAGCUCAUGGUGCUGGGAGAAAACUGGGAAGGACGGAGAGGUGAAGAGGCUAUAAAGGCCCAGUCAUGAAGGCGACCAUGGGCCAGGAUGUCCUGAAGUCGCAAAGCUGACCAAUGCUGAGUGCCCUAAAAGCUGCCACUCCUGUGCCCAUCUUUUCUUUCAAUGGACAAAGUCUUCCCCUGCUCUUAUGUGCCUGGCCUGGAAGGGCCUUUGACUUAUAACAUGAAGCAGCCUCCAGAGCCUCUUGGGGCAAGUGAUGGUCAAGGAGGCUCUGCCUAACCCCACCCUGCCCUUCCCACUUGUCAGAGGACCAGGAAUUUCAGUCUUCCAGCUCCUGGGCUGAUCUAGUGACUUGUAACAGGAUUUCGCUGGAACUGGAAGGUGUUGAAGACAGGAAGUACUCCUGGGUUUCUUCACCCAGCUGAAUGCCUAGUUCCUGGUCUUAUUACACGGCUUACAUUCAGGAUAAGAAGAGGCAUUUGGAGCUUUACGCAUGACCUCUUAGCAGAGGUUUCUGUUCAGGAGCGAAGAGGUAAAAAGAAAGCAGUGUCUACUAAAUCCUUUUCCAAGAGUCUCAGGAAAUUCUCACGAAGACCUUCUCAGGUAAGGACUGACGGGAAAUGCCUUGGUUUAAUAUUAAACUUUGCCCUUGACACAUUUUGUUUAUGGAGGGCAUAUACAAUGUUGUCCGCUCAAGGAAGCACUGUAAUUCUUAUCUAGACUUUAUGUAGAAUGAGUAUAUAUAAAACCUAAACUUGGUCCUUAAGCAAGGGGUUACCUCUCAGAGAAGGCCUAUGGGAAGGUUUCUACCAAAUUCUGUGGUGCUGCCAUUGCUCCAAGGAGCCCAGGUGGUGCCAAGUUUGAGCACUCGGCUGUUAACCGAAGGUUAGUUUUUUGAACCCACCAAAAGGCUCUAAGGAGUAAAGACCUGGCGAACUGCUUCCAUUAAGAUUACAAACCAGGAAACCCUAUCGGGGAAGUUCUCCUUUUACACUGGGCCACAAUGACUCAGAAACCCACUCGAUGGCACCUAGCAAUAUCAACAGGAAGCCGUUGCCCCACAUGUGCUUGAAAUGCCUCUCUGGGGAAGGUUGGCCUUCAGAACCAGCUCAUGGCCACACGGGAACUGAGACUCAUGUUUUGUUACCACACCUUAGUUUCAGUCAGUAAAUUUAUUUUCCAGUUUAUUCACUAGACUUGACUACAGACAUCUCUCAGGUAUUGUCAAAAUUAAUUCCAUUCUCUAAUAAUGAUUUGCCAGGAUGUAUUUCCAAGCGUUUCCAAGAGACUGGAAAAACUUUCCAAAGAGGCUUGUUCAGUGCCAUGUUGUGCAGUAACUACAGUGUUGACAUAGUAUAUUUAUCCACAUAGUUUCCACGUUUUCUGCUUUCCAUAAAUACAACUGAAAUUCCAAGUCUACCACCUGAAGUACUUCCUUUAGUGUUUCACUUAGAAGUCUGGUGGUGAUGAAUUCUCUCAGUUUUCCUUCCCCUAAGAAUGGCAUUAUUUGUGCUUUACUCCUGAAGGUAAUGAUUGGACAUAGAAUUCUGGGUUAAUACUUCCAUCUUUCAGGGUUGAAAAAAUGAUGUUUCACAAUCUUUUUUUUUUUUUUGGCUUCCAUGGCUUCUGAUAGUGAAUACAGAGUCAUUCAAAUUAUUUUUCUCAGGUGAAAUGUGUUGUUUUCUCUCUACCUCCUUCCUGAGUAUUUUCUUGACCUUUGUUAUUCUGCAGUUGAUUAUGAUGUAUGGUAUUUUUAUGCAAGUAACCCAUGUUCUAUAUAUAUAUGUGUGUGUCAACUGUUUUUCCCCUCCCGGGUAUGUCUGUGAGUACAGUAUACUGUUUUUUUCUUUUUACAUACUGCUGUUAAAAAAAAAAAAAAUUAGAGUAAUGUACUUACAAAUAUACUUGGGAUGUGGGGUAAGGCCCACUGGGUUGGCAAAAAACCCAUAACCCGCAGAAUAUUUUUGUGAAAAUUCGGUAUUGGGGCAUGGAAUUCUUUAACUUGCUGUGGUUUGCUGAACUUCUUGAAUCUGUAAGUUUAUGUCUUUCACCACAUUUGGAAAGUGUUCAGCCAGUAUUUUUUCAAAUACUAUUUUCUUCACCACACGUUUUGUCCACUUCUUCUGGAGUUCCAAUAAAUAAGCUUUUUGUCUAGUUCUUGAGGCACUGUCCAUUUUUUUCCAUAUUUUCCUCUCUGUUUGCAGAAUGGAUAUUUUCUACUGAUCUAUUUCAAGUAUUUAGUUUUUUUCUCUGUCAUCACCAUUCUGCUAUUGUGAAAAUAUCAACUGAAUUUUUGAUUUCUACGAUUGUACUUUUAACAUGUAAAAUUUUCAUUUGCAAAUAGCACCUAUUAUCUUUCCAUUUAUUUAAAAAGUGUCCCUGUUAUUUCUUGGAUUAGAAUAGCAUUUUAAAAUCUGUUUCUUAUGAUUUUGAGAGUACAAGUCCUGCUUAAAUUUUAUGGAGAAUUUUUUUGUUUUUAGCAGUCAAUUGACCCAGUUAUGUUCAGGCUCCAAGUUCUGUCCCAUCUUCUGUAUUCUAUGGUUCAAAUGUUAGUUCAAUUUUUGAAGGCUUUGCAGGUGUAUUUAGGUCUAACCUAUGUGAGCGCCACUCAGUAUGGAACCUUGAUGGCAUUCUAACCCAUAGUGCGGGUCUUAAAGGAUUUGAUAAUGCUUCUUAGGGUCAGGGCAAUGGAUACGCACCUGGGGGGUGAACCAGGAGUUCAUAGCAAGUCUGCAGAAUCUCUUUCUUGCACAGCCUCCUCUUUCUCUUCUGCUCUCUGAGUUCAGAAGGAGUGCUUUCCUGGCCCACUGGCGGGAAUGCUGGGGCUUUAAUCUCCUCAUUCUGUUGUGCACAUCAGUGACUGGUUCUGCCUAUGGGGCCAAAGCACCGGACAACCAGCCAAAAGGCUGGCACUUUGAACGUGUCAAGAAGCACCUCAGAAGACAAGCCUGGUGAUCUGCUUUUGAAAAGUCUCACCCUUUGAGGCAGAAUUGACUAGGUGUCAGUUAACAGCAGAGAGAGAGAAAAUGUAAUGGAGCUUUCUCUACAAUAUUUGGUUCUUCCAUACUCUGGUCAGAGAGAAGGAUUCUCCUCUGCCAGAGUUUCAGGUGUCUGCCCACCUGCCCAGCUGCCUGUCUCUCUCCUUUACGGACCUUCUAUCCCAUUUAUAUGAGAGAGGGCUUCUCUCGGGGCUGUUUCUGUCCACAACGGGUGUGCAGCUGUGAGAUUUGGGCUCAUUUAAUUUCAGCCUCUAGAAUGUUCAUACUUUAUGUUCUGGUUCUGCCCCGCCCCCAUCCACCUUCAACACUUUCCUUUGCAGAGUCCUGAGAUAGUGUCCCAUGCAUUUGUCCAGAUACUUAGUUGUCAGAUACCAGCAUAGCCACCAGGGGCAGUGCUGUUGUGGUUGAGGGGGGAGGGACUGUACACUGAAGGAGCUGCAAGACCUGGCUGCCUUGUGUGAGCAGGACGGGGGUGUGCUGAGGAGUGGGUGCUGAAGGUGCUGAGUCAAGGGGAGUUAAAUAUAAAGUUGGGUCAAAGAUAGUUUGUUGACAAGGAUUUAUUGCCAUAGCAAGGGUUCUGGAAAUGGGUUUAAUAUGCUGUGGGAUUGCUUUUGGAAGCUUAGAAAAGGCAAUGGCCCACAUUCUCUGAAAUGGAAAUGCCAGACCUGCUAGGUCAGAUGUUGGAAGAGGGAUUAAAAGCCUCCAAUAUGUGGGCAUGUCUGAGUUAGUCUUCUAUAAGACCAUUUCUUGGAGGUCCUGAAGGAUACCCAUUUCAUCAAAAGAAUAAGGAAUGCGGAGAUGAGGGGAGCACCAGCAAGAUAGAGCUUACCAAUAUGUAUACUUUGUAGGGAGUCCCUGGACGCCACAAACAGUUAAGUGCUUGACUAUUAUCUGAAAGUCUGGCAGUUUGAACGUACUCAGAGGGUCCUUGGAAGACAGUCCUGGCCAUCAACUACUAAAGGAUGAAAGCCUUAAAAACACUAUUGAACAGUUAGUUCUACUAUGCCCACAUGGGGUGGUCAUGAGUCAGAAAUGACUUGAUGACAACUAACAGCAACAAUUGUCUAUAGGCUCAGGUUGUUAGUGGGAGCUGGGCUGCCUAGUAGCAAUGCAAAUCAUGGGAUCCCAGCUCUACAGAGGCCAGGUGAAAGUACUUAACUGUCAGAAACAAGUUGUGUGUGAUUCCAAUAAUGGUCAGCAGGUCACAGUAGUAGUUAUCUAUUGGGGCAUAAUAGAUUCUCCCCAAACUUAGCAGGUGUGAGAUAAAUGGAAAAUUAAUAUUCAACUCAUUCUGAUAAAUUUGGAACUAGACAAAAAUUUUGGUAUCACUCAACAUAGUUUUCAGGUGAAGGAAUAAACUAGAAAAUUUAAAUAACUAGUAUAAGUAUAAUAAGAGAUUUUUCAAAUAAUGAUGAUAUAAUUGCAUACCUGAAUAAAAGACAAAUACAUCAAAAUCAAUGGUUUGUCUCCAGUAUAGACAUGAGGGUCUCAAAUUGGCAAGGGUGAGAAGGGCAGACCGUUCUCUUUCCCCUACUACUUGACUGGAUCAAACUGUGUUCAAAACUGUAAAAUAUUUAGGAAAACAUUGUUUUGACCAGAGCAUCAAAGGACCUCUAUGACGAAAACUAAUGUACUAAAAUACAUAAAAUGAAACCUGAAUGUAUGCAAAAAAUAUGCCAUAUUUUCAAAUGAGAAGUCUUGUCAAUGAAAUGGAGGUCCCUAAAACUAAUAUAUAAGUGGAAUGUAUUUCCAGUCGGAAUAUUAAGAUAGUUGUUUUUGAAUUGUAUACAGUAAUCGUAUGCUACAAAUAGUACAGUAGAUAGCAGAGGAUGUUGCUGGUGUUAGGAGACUUGGAGUCCAUUUCUGACUCAUAGUGAUCCCAUUUCACUGCCCCAUAGGGUUUUCUAGGCUGUGAUCAUUAUGGGAGCAGAACAACAGGUCUUUCCCCUCAGUGCCCCCUGGUGGGUUCGACCUGCCAAACCUUCUUUGGAUUAGCAGAUGAGCACUUAAUCACUGCAACACUACGGCUGCUUUAAAAGGUAUAGAGAAGAAAAACAUGAAAAAGCAGGAUACUGACACGUGUCUACCUCUUCAGGUAACAGAACAAAUUGAUAUUACAUAGCAUAGAAACUGACAAGUCGACCAAUGAAACAAAAUCUGCUAAGAAGUCACAAUAAACAUUGAUAUAAAGGCGCUAUUUUGAGAAAAUUAUAUUUAUUUAAUAAACGGUGCUGACUCAAGUGACCGUUCUGGGGGACAAAGUUUGCAAAAAUGUGAUACACAAAUGAUAGAUUUGGAAAAUCAUGUGAAAUGGAGAUGACAAGGCUUAAUAACAAUUUCCAUUUUACACAGAAGGAUAAAAGUUAAGCACGUGAAAAAUGAGCAGUGAAUUCAAAAAGAUCGUUCACAGGAAAUCCACAUGCCCAAUAAACAUAGUCCAAGUUGCUCAAAAACACUGGUAGUUAAGAAAAUAUCAAAGUCCCAGUGAAACUGGCACAAUUUAAAAAUCAACACCAUCUAUGGCUGGCUGGGCUGUGGGGAGAAGGAUACCCUGAGACAUGGCUGGAAAGGUGCUUUAGGACAGCCUAUAGGGGAAAGACAUGGCCAUGGCUCUGUACUUUUAAAACAUACUUUGAGCUGGAAAUCUCACUCUAUGGAGUCUAUUGCACAGAAACAGAUCCUGUAGUAUACAACUGAUAGUUAUUAUUAGUGUUGACCAAACGUUGACUGUACAUUGAUGGUUGAAUGAUAGAUAACUUAUGGUAAAGCUACAUCAUCAAUAAAUGAGUUGUAGUAGUUGAGUGGGAAAAAUAUCUGUGAAGUAUUAUUGAAGUAUUACUGAAAAAAUCUAGGUGCAGAGAAGUGUAUAUAAAAUGAGCACAUCUGGGUUAAACAAUAUCAAUUGUUUGAAUAUGCUUGGAUACCUGUUUAUGUUUAUGAGUGUUAUACACAUAAACGAUCUUUUUGAAUUCACUGCUCAUUUUUCACGUGCUUAACUUUUAUCCUUCUGUGUGUGUGUAUAAGUCUGUGUCCUUGUUUAAGCAAGGAUAAGAGAGACUACUUACCACAUUGUUAACCUGA
This is a long non-coding RNA of Loxodonta africana (African savanna elephant), 21470 nucleotides long. RefSeq lists it as uncharacterized. The record is from RefSeq and is a predicted model, not a curated record. Lineage: Eukaryota; Metazoa; Chordata; Mammalia; Proboscidea; Elephantidae. The transcript is spliced from 5 exons.